UCAUCGGUGAUUCAGUGGUAGAAUGUUCGCCUGCCACGCGGGUGGCCCGGGUUCGAUUCCCGGCCAAUGCA
This 71-nucleotide transfer RNA is filed under the name Heliconius melpomene (postman butterfly). RNAcentral's name for it is "tRNA HMEL006184". It matches the Rfam family "tRNA". From Rfam's summary of the family: Transfer RNA (tRNA) molecules are approximately 80 nucleotides in length. Their secondary structure includes four short double-helical elements and three loops (D, anti-codon, and T loops). Further hydrogen bonds mediate the characteristic L-shaped molecular structure. tRNAs have two regions of fundamental functional importance: the anti-codon, which is responsible for specific mRNA codon recognition, and the 3' end, to which the tRNAs corresponding amino acid is attached (by aminoacyl-tRNA synthetases). tRNAs cope with the degeneracy of the genetic code in two manners: having more than one tRNA (with a specific anti-codon) for a particular amino acid; and 'wobble' base-pairing, i.e. permitting non-standard base-pairing at the 3rd anti-codon position. Lineage: Eukaryota; Metazoa; Arthropoda; Insecta; Lepidoptera; Nymphalidae. The record is from RNAcentral.